AGUGAACGCUGGCGGUAGGCCUAACACAUGCAAGUCGAACGGCAGCACAGUAAGAGCUUGCUCUUACGGGUGGCGAGUGGCGGACGGGUGAGGAAUACAUCGGAAUCUACUUUUUCGUGGGGGAUAACGUAGGGAAACUUACGCUAAUACCGCAUACGACCUACGGGUGAAAGCAGGGGAUCUUCGGACCUUGCGCGAUUGAAUGAGCCGAUGUCGGAUUAGCUAGUUGGCGGGGUAAAGGCCCACCAAGGCGACGAUCCGUAGCUGGUCUGAGAGGAUGAUCAGCCACACGGGAACUGAGACACGGUCCAGACUCCUACGGGAGGCAGCAGUGGGGUAUAUUGGACAAUGGGCGCAAGCCUGAUCCAGCCAUACCGCGUGGGUGAAGAAGGCCGUCGGGUUGUAAAGCCCUUUUGUUGGGAAAGAAAAGCAGCAGGUUAAUACCCCGCUGUUCUGACGGUACCCAAAGAAUAAGCACCGGCUAACUUCG
This 490-nucleotide ribosomal RNA is filed under the name uncultured bacterium. RNAcentral's name for it is "partial 16S ribosomal RNA". It matches the Rfam family "Bacterial small subunit ribosomal RNA", at positions 29 to 505 of the family's 1533-position model. The record is from RNAcentral.